UUCAAAAGCAAACCCUAGUCUCUUCUUCAACUAACUUCUUUAUAAUCAAGAGCAUAAAUUCAUCAGGUAAUAAUCGAUUGAACCAAAGAAAUCCUAGCUAGUUCGGUCAACAGUUAGAAGCACCGAUCUGAGAUUUUAGGUCAUUUUUGAGAUUUGGAAGUAUCGAUAUGAUAAUCAGUCAUGAAUAUCAAAUGAUAAUGGUUGUGCUUUGGAAGCGAAUCAAUGAUACUGGCUAAAAUUGGCGCCACGUGUACAAAGUUUUCACAUCCCCUAUGCUCUUUCUGAUUUUUUUAGAGCUUUAUAUCUGAGAUGCUAUGGCGCGGUAUUUGUGGUCUUGAAUGGUGGACAUUGAGUCAAUGCCCGAUAUCAACUUCAUCACUUACUUAUUGAUGUUUUUUCUGAUCGCCUCUUUGUAUUUUUGCAGUCCGGAAAAUUAAAAAUUGCUAAAACAAGAAAUGCGAUUCAAGUGGAAGUGCUCGAAAAUGACUUUAACAGUCGGUUUAUGAUAAUACAGUGAGAGGGACCAGGGAAGUCUUUGCUGGCACUAGUGAACGAAAUCUCAGUCUUUGGUGGCACUGGUGAACGAUAAAGAAAAAAAAUUCAAGAAGCCAGACAGAAAGCACUUUCCAACAGGGAGAAGUCAGUCUCCUUUCAAGAAUACUCUCAGACAGUUGUGCUUUAUCUUUUUUUUUUUUGCUUUUUUUGAAACACUUUUGUACAUGUGCUUAGCAUGCUAGCAUGUAGAUUCUUAUGCAUUCGUGCAUAAGGAAGACUCUCAGACAGAUUUUUAUGCAGUUCUGGAUAAGAAAGACUCUCAAGCAGUUGUGCUUAAAAAACUUUGAAUCGUAAUGUAUCUAUGUGAAC
Molecule: long non-coding RNA, 864 nt
Organism: Papaver somniferum (opium poppy)
Lineage: Eukaryota; Viridiplantae; Streptophyta; Magnoliopsida; Ranunculales; Papaveraceae
Exons: 4
Source: RefSeq, a predicted model, not a curated record